Molecule: long non-coding RNA, 1936 nt
Filed under: Sinocyclocheilus grahami
Lineage: Eukaryota; Metazoa; Chordata; Actinopteri; Cypriniformes; Cyprinidae
Description: lncRNA (ENSSGRG00000044204.1)
Source: RNAcentral
UGUGGGGAGCCAGUGCAAAGCAAUGCUAUACUUGGCAACCAGCUCAAACAAAGAAGUGAAGCUGAGAUAACCAGGCACAGGUGACAGCAAUCCACUUCAUCAGUGGGUGAAGAUAUAAACUGAGCUCUUCCCAAGUGAUGGUAACCACUAUCUCAAAAGAAAGACUAACACAAAAGUCUCUAUUCUUUCCUAAACACUGACUGAACCCAACCUGGCUAUGCCAAGCUUCUCACCAUCCGCAGAUACCACAACUCGCCAAACACUAAUUCAACUCACACCAGUGGAUGAAAGGCAAAGAGCACUACCUUAUAGAACAGCUGACCAAGAGAGGCUCGUCACCAGUCAAAAGUGGAUAGAGCAGGAGCUUAUACAUCUACAGAAGCUGUGGCUAAUAUUCCCCUUCCAAGACCCCUGCAGCCCAGCCCUCAGAUACUGACUAAGCUCAUGGAGCAUGAUGUUGUAGAGGCAUUCAUCCUUAGUGGUUGAGGUAACGGAUGCCAUAGACAUUGGAGAGAGGGCUCCUUUUCUCCAAAAGUAUUCCAUGGACUAGCAACCUGCCGAGGGUACCUCCUGAGUAGAUCACCAGUCUGCACUCCAGGAUGAGCCAAUGCCCACAGACUCCAUCAUAUUGGACAUACAAGCCUGGUUUGCACGGCGUGUGUUCCAUCAAGCAACCCUGGCUAAUGUUCCAAUCCAAAGUCAAACUCAAUGGCAAAAGGUAAAAGCAAUGUUGGACUCCCUCUAUCAUGCUGGCAUCCUGAUGUAAAAAAAAAACAAACAAAAAAAACACUGAAGCUCCUAUCCCACCUCCCUACUCUUCUUUGACUCUACGCUUGAGCUGUAAUUACUCACAGGAGAUGCUAUAUUUAAGCCUCUGGAGCUAUGGAUAUGUGGCAUCCCGCUCUCAUUGCUCCCUUAGUUGUUUACGUUUUGUUGUAUAACGAGUGAUUAUUAAAGAACUGGUACAUAAGACAUUUGUUGUCACUUGUUAAGUGAACUAUUUUCCAAUUGUGAUUUACUUUAAGUUCAGCUCUUAUUUCUUCCUGACCAUUGUUUAAUCGGAACAUGAUAGGGAGGUGAGAAAUUUGUUUUCUCCUGGAUAUGUUAGUAGGGAGAGAAGCGUUUUGUAUUUCUUUUAUAAUCUGAUUUCUAGGUAAGGUUUCCAGGUUUUUGUGAAAAUUGGUUAGUUUUGUUUUGUUACUUCAUCUUGGAAUUAUAAGGUUCUAUCUGACAUUUUUGUCAAUUUAGUUAUUCACAUAUUCCUAUUCUGUGACAACUUGUUUACAUUAUGUGAUGUUUCUUUUUUAAGUUGUGUACAUUUUUGGGACUUUUUUUUUUUAGAAAACAAAAAGGUUCUAUCUACAAAGUUGAACUGUAACUUGGUUCUAUCUGCGUAAGCCAAUCAGCACUUUGAAUGCACACACGAGGACCAAUCAGGAUCAGCUUUCUUUGUCAUGUCACCGGACUGCGCCGCGAUAGUGGAACAGAGCGCAGAAAAACGCUCUUACAGUUUUGCUGUAACUGUUGUAAGAGCGUUUUUUACAGUUUUGCUGUAGCUAUUGCCAAGUUAUUUUUAGUUAGACACCACGCUAGCAAGCAGCGCUAUUAAGAGGAUAGGUCCGGGUUUUGUAGUCUAUUUGCUUUAUUCCAGUCACGUCAUUGUCAUACGAGGGAAAGUUAUGUAUAUAUUAGGUUAUGUUUUAACCUUGAUCCAUCCUGUGUACUUGUACUGAGCUGUAUGUACUAUGUCGCUAUAAAGCUGUACGCUAUGGCACACUGGAUUAAAGUGUAUACUACAUUAAGUGAGAUGAAAUGUUAAAUUUUACAUUGUUGGUAAAAACUGAGUUGUUGCAGAGUUGAAGUAAUUUCAAUAUUUAAAUGUAAAAUAUUGACACUAUAUAUAUGUGUGUGUGUGUUUAUUAACUUUUGUUAAACA